Molecule: non-coding RNA, 863 nt
Organism: Carica papaya (papaya)
Lineage: Eukaryota; Viridiplantae; Streptophyta; Magnoliopsida; Brassicales; Caricaceae
Source: RefSeq, a predicted model, not a curated record
CCUAGCAGAAAGGGGGCAGGGGCGGUGGAGAAGAAGAAGAAAAAAAAAUGAGGAGAAUAAGGAGAAAGAAAGAAGCAUCACGCAUGGUGUAUGUAGCAAGAAAAGAAAAGUUGCAUGCAGUGUCGGGCACGUGGCCCGUGUUGCCGUCGAAAAAGAAGAAGAAAAAAAGAGGAAAAGAAUAAGAAGAAGAAGAAGAGAAGAGGAAGAAGAGGAAGAAAAAGAAAGAAGAUGAGGAAGGAAGCAUGGCACGCAUUUGGAAGAAGAGCUGCAAGCGGUGUGCAGUGCCAAGGGCAUGACACACGCGGCUAGGAGAAAAGAGAUGCGAGUGGUGCGCAGUGUUGGGUGUGUGGUGUCGAGCGCAAAGCGCGCAUUGCUGAAGAAUAAGAAGCAAAGUGCAUGUUGGUGGACCAGAUCCGCAUGAGGCAGACCAUGGCGCGGAAUUCCGGAUCCAUCCAAAGAUCUGUACGAGGCCAAAAAUUAAGGAAUUGAACAGAGAGAUUGAAAUCGCACUCUUUCGAGCCAGAAGCCCGAAUUCGACGCCGAGUUUGGAUUUUUGGGAAUAGAAAAUUGAAAAGGGAGCCGACUAUAUGGAACCAAAGUCAUUCGAAAGCUUUCCGAUUUCUUCUUUCAUUGGAGAUUAUGGUAAGAAUUGAGAAUGAUGAUAUAUAUGAAUGAGAAUGAUAUGUAUGGUACCUAAAUAUAAAUAUGUUGGAAUGGAUAAUGAAAAUAAUGUGGUUAUUGAUUGUUUUUUUUGUUAUACUUUGCGAUAAUGAUGAUGAGUAUGGUUGUCUUGCAAAUUGAAUUUCUAUGAAUAUAAAAUUUGUAUUUAUUUGAUUAAACAUGUAUGAAUGUAUAUUUGCAUA